This 753-nucleotide ribosomal RNA is filed under the name uncultured Gammaproteobacteria bacterium. Its description in RNAcentral is "bacterial SSU rRNA". It matches the Rfam family "Bacterial small subunit ribosomal RNA", at positions 28 to 774 of the family's 1533-position model. The record is from RNAcentral. Lineage: Bacteria; Pseudomonadati; Pseudomonadota; Gammaproteobacteria.
AUUGAACGCUGGCGGCGUGCCUAACACAUGCAAGUCGAGCGGUAACAGGUGUAGCAAUACAUGCUGACGAGCGGCGAACGGGUGAGUAAUGCUUCGGAAUCUACCUUAUGGUGGGGAAUAACUAGCCGAAAGGUUAGCUAAUACCGCAUACGUCCUACGGGAGAAAGCAGGGGAUCGCAAGACCUUGCGCCAAAAGAUGAGCCGAAGUCGGAUUAGCUAGUUGGUAGGGUAACGGCCUACCAAGGCGACGAUCCGUAGCUGGUCUGAGAGGACGACCAGCCACACUGGGACUGAGACACGGCCCAGACUCCUACGGGAGGCAGCAGUGGGGAAUAUUGGACAAUGGGGGAAACCCUGAUCCAGCGACGCCGCGUGUGUGAAGAAGGCCUGCGGGUUGUAAAGCACUUUUAGUGGGGAUGAAAUGUGCAGGGCUAACACCUCUGCAUUUUGACCUAACCCACAGAAAAAGCACCGGCUAACUCUGUGCCAGCAGCCGCGGUAAUACAGAGGGUGCAAGCGUUAAUCGGAAUUACUGGGCGUAAAGCGUGCGUAGACGGUUACAUAAGUCGGGUGUGAAAGCCCCGGGCUCAACCUGGGAAUUGCAUUCGAGACUGCGUAGCUAGGGUGCGGAAGAGGGAAGCGGAAUUUCCGGUGUAGCGGUGAAAUGCGUAGAUAUCGGAAGGAACACCAGUGGCGAAAGCGGCUUCCUGGUCCAGCACCGACGUUCAGGCACGAAAGCGUGGGGAGCAAACA